Molecule: small RNA, 408 nt
Filed under: Histoplasma capsulatum var. duboisii H88
Lineage: Eukaryota; Fungi; Ascomycota; Eurotiomycetes; Onygenales; Ajellomycetaceae
Description: Histoplasma capsulatum H88 hypothetical RNA
Source: RNAcentral
GAAAUUCAAAUAGAAAUACCAAUACCAUGCAUGACCUUCAUUGGUAGUAAUCAUUGGGUGGGACAAUUCCUGCGUAAGUUGACAACCAAGUCCGAAAGCAACCACAAAUCUUUUUUGGAGGUUGGCCAUGUCAUAUGUAAACAUUAGAGUCUUUAGUUACGAGCAUCUUUGGGUCCUGGUAUCCUUGGCAAUUUAACGUAUUUAGGAUAACGACAUUGAAGAGACGGGGAGGUAUGACCCUCAAAAUAUUUGAGAUAAGUGGAGCAGCUUGAUGUCUGAAGCAGUGUUGUAGCCAAGCAGCUCUCAUGAGACAGGUAUUUGGGCUUUGGUGUUGAAGGUUCUAUUUAAUUUGAAUAGUAAAAAAAAAAAUUGCUUGAAACCUACAUAGUAUGGUAGCCACGAGUAACU